CGAAAGCCUAUCUCAGUUCGGAUUGGAGGCUGAAACUCGCCUCCAUGAAGUUGGAUUCGCUAGUAAUCGCGCAUCAGCCAUGGCGCGGUGAAUACGUUCCCGGGCCUUGUACACACCGCCCGUCAAGCCAUGGGAGUUGGGGGUGCCUGAAGUUCGUGACCGAAAGGAGCGACCUAGGGCAAAACCGAUGACUGGGGCUAAGUCGUAACAAGGUACC
Molecule: ribosomal RNA, 217 nt
Filed under: uncultured bacterium
Lineage: Bacteria
Description: partial 16S ribosomal RNA
Rfam family: Bacterial small subunit ribosomal RNA
Source: RNAcentral